RNAcentral lists this long non-coding RNA (1754 nucleotides) under Capsicum annuum. RNAcentral describes it as "long non-coding RNA (CANN_LNC012760)". Lineage: Eukaryota; Viridiplantae; Streptophyta; Magnoliopsida; Solanales; Solanaceae. The record is from RNAcentral.
GGGUCAAAACCUUUGUUCCCCUUCUCACAACUACCUCUAAUACAAUAACACUCCUAUCCAAACUCAAUCUCUUAGAACAUUUGCAGCUAUACUAAUUUUCCGAGGUAGUCUGCAAGUUUCCUAUUCCCUUGGACUCUAAUGCAGAGUUCUAUCCUUAGUUGUAGAUGAUCGCUUCUGUUGUUGCAUUUCUGUUAUGGAAUAUUGGUUGUUUCUUUCCAGCCAAAUCAUAUAGACCACAGCAACAAAACUUACUUUUAAUAUUAUUGUCCUUAUGCCUUUACCUUUUGAAUUCCUUUCACCCAUUGCCAUUCCAUGUCCCAGUCAAACGGCCUUCUGUGCCAUUGUUGCUAGUUUAAUACAACUUCCCAUGUUGUCUUAGCAAAUAUACACUCAAAAAACAAGUGGGCAGCACUUUCGGGGACUGAGUUGCAUAGGGGACAGGUCGCAUUUAUAGCCAUUCCCCACCUCAGCAAUACAUCCUUUGUUCGUAGUCGUCCAUGCAAUUGUAACCAUAAUAUAAAAACUUGUUUGGAUUCUGCACAGUUAUUACAUACUAAAUUUCUCCAGUCCACCUUCACUGUCUCUCCUCUUAAGAGGGUAUAAGCCUUAGAGAUCUUAAAAACUCCAUUAUGCAGCACCUGGGAAGUAGUGUUGUUUGUCAGCCCUACUAUGUGAGCAUAUUUCCUCAUACUCAAAAUUUCCUAAUCAUCCAUGAUGCCUGCCCUGGAAUGAGCAUAGUUGAGAUUUGUUGCUUCUUUAUGUAAUAUGUGUGAGUCCAUGUAAUCCAUAAUUUCUCCUUUUUGAGACUUAACGCCCAUAAAAGUUUACAUAUAGCUGCAGUAUUCCAGAUUUUCAAAUCUACAAGGUUAAGUCCACCGGCUUUUUUUGGUAAGCAAACUGUCCUUCAAGCCACUAGUGCCCAUUUAGUAAUAUUAGCCUCUCCUGUCCAUAGAUAACUUCUGCAAGCAGCUUCGAUCAUCUUCAUUAUUUUCUUUGGCAGUAAACAUAGUUGAGCCGAAUAAGCUUGUAUUCCAAACAACACCGCUUUAAUAAGUUGAACUCUGCCAGCGUAUGACAAGCUCUUUUCCAUCCAAGUUGUAAUUUUUGUUGUUAUCUUGUUUACCAGAGGCAUGCACUGUGAUAUAGUAAGUUUUUUUGAAGAGAAGGGCAUCCCUAAAUACUUAAAUGGUAGAUCUCCCUUUUCAUACUCCAAUAUCUGCAUAAUACUUUGCUGUACAGUAAUCUCCACUCCACCAAAAUACACUUGGCUUUUGCUCAUAUUGGCCUUCAAUCCGAAUGUUGUAGAGAAUACAUUAAAUUUAUCUUUUAGCAAAGACAAUGACUGUGCAUCCCCUCUUGCAAAUAAUAGGAGAUCAUCUGCAAAGCACAAGUGCGUAAUACCCAACUUCUGGCAUCUAAGGUGAAAAUCAAAAUCAGGAUUCAGCUUCAGAGUGUCCAUGCAUCUGUUCAGAUAUUCCAUAACAAUGACAAAAAUAUAAGGAGACAUGGGAUCUCCUUGUCGAAGUCCUCUCUUUGCCUGUAUUGUUUCUGAAAGAGUUCCAUUUAUGGAAAUGUAUAGCUCACUGUUUGAAUAAAAGUCAUAAUCUAUCUAACCAUUUGGCUAGGAAAGCCCACUUCUUUCAACAUUUGUUCUAUGAAGUACCACUCAACUGAGUCAUAAGCUACUAGCUCAUGACUCAGAAUAAUAUUAUCAGAUAUCAGCCUUCCUGGAAUGAAAGCCGAUUGGUUGUGGC